This 546-nucleotide ribosomal RNA is filed under the name Pseudomonas sihuiensis. Its description in RNAcentral is "bacterial SSU rRNA". It matches the Rfam family "Bacterial small subunit ribosomal RNA", at positions 62 to 603 of the family's 1533-position model. The record is from RNAcentral. Lineage: Bacteria; Pseudomonadati; Pseudomonadota; Gammaproteobacteria; Pseudomonadales; Pseudomonadaceae.
UCGAGCGGAUGAGGGAGCUUGCUCCUGGAUUCAGCGGCGGACGGGUGAGUAAUGCCUAGGAAUCUGCCUGGUAGUGGGGGAUAACGUUCCGAAAGGAACGCUAAUACCGCGUACGUCCUACGGGAGAAAGCAGGGGACCUUCGGGCCUUGCGCUAUCAGAUGAGCCUAGGUCGGAUUAGCUAGUUGGUGAGGUAAUGGCUCACCAAGGCGACGAUCCGUAACUGGUCUGAGAGGAUGAUCAGUCACACUGGAACUGAGACACGGUCCAGACUCCUACGGGAGGCAGCAGUGGGGAAUAUUGGACAAUGGGCGAAAGCCUGAUCCAGCCAUGCCGCGUGUGUGAAGAAGGUCUUCGGAUUGUAAAGCACUUUAAGUUGGGAGGAAGGGCUGUAGGCUAAUAUCCUGCGGUUUUGACGUUACCAACAGAAUAAGCACCGGCUAUCUUCGUGCCAGCAGCCGCGGUAAUACGAAGGGUGCAAGCGUUAAUCGGAAUUACUGGGCGUAAAGCGCGCGUAGGUGGUUCGAUAUGUUGUGAUGUGAAAGCCC